UAAAAGUUUUAUUCUAGCUAAAGAAUUCUCUGUUAGAUUGUUUCACAUGCAAGUAAUUAUGGGAUAGAUACGGAAGUCUAAAAGGUUCUGGAAUAUUUUAUUAUUCACAGUGUUUUGUAUUGGUAGUUCAAGGUAUCUUGGAACCAGUAAUUUUAUGAAUUCCGGCAAAACUCGUGCCAGCCGCCGCGGUUAUACGAAGGGGGUAAGAGUAUUUUAUUGGUUUGUAAUUAGUUUUAUACAAAGAUUAGAAAGGGAGAUUUGUUAGGUGAAAUUUUAAACUUUAAAUUAAUCUGGUCUUGAGUCAAUGAAGUUAUGAAGUUUAGAUGAUAAACUGGGAUUAGAUACCCCAUUAUUCUAAAAGUUAAAAUAAAGCCAGAGUAGUAAUAGUUAUGUUCUUGAAACUCAAAGAAUUUGGCGGUGUUUUAAUCCGGUCAGAGGAACCUGCCCCGUAAUCGAUAAUCCACGUUUAUUUAACUUGGUCUAGUAUUCAGCUUGUAUACCGCCGUCAGAAGAGUGAUUCGGGAGAAUCCCCUCUGGAUUUUUAAUUAAAAAGAAUGUCAGGUCAAGGUGCAGUUUAUGAUCAAGGGGAGGUGGGUUACAAUAAUUUUAAUUAAAUGGAGCUUUUCUUGUAAGAGGGGAGUGAAGGUGGAUUUGGAUGUAAUGAAAAAUAUUAUAUUUUUAUGAUACCGGCUCUAAAACAAGCACACAUCGCCCGUCGCUCUCGUUUUUUAAGGCGAGAUAAGUCGUAACAUAGUAGAGGUACCGGAAGGUGCCUCUAGUAAGU
RNAcentral lists this non-coding RNA (784 nucleotides) under Epeorus alexandri. Lineage: Eukaryota; Metazoa; Arthropoda; Insecta; Ephemeroptera; Heptageniidae. The record is from RNAcentral.